UACAGAGGUCCCAAGCGUUGUUCGGAUUCACUGGGCGUAAAGGGUGCGUAGGUGGUUCUGCAAGUCUGAUGUGAAAUCUCCGGGCUUAACCCGGAAAUGGCAUUGGAAACUGCAGGGCUAGAGUGUUGGAGGGGGGACUGGAAUUCUCGGUGUAGCAGUGAAAUGCGUAGAUAUCGAGAGGAACGCCUGAGGUGAAGACGGGUUGCUGGGCCGACACUGACGCUGACAGCGCGAAAGCCAGGGGAGCAAACGGG
Molecule: ribosomal RNA, 254 nt
Filed under: uncultured prokaryote
Description: partial 16S ribosomal RNA
Rfam family: Bacterial small subunit ribosomal RNA
Source: RNAcentral